This 1306-nucleotide ribosomal RNA is filed under the name Acasta sulcata. Its description in RNAcentral is "16S ribosomal RNA". The stretch from base 861 to 1224 matches the Rfam family "Bacterial large subunit ribosomal RNA", at positions 2073 to 2647 of the family's 2925-position model. The record is from RNAcentral. Lineage: Eukaryota; Metazoa; Arthropoda; Thecostraca; Balanomorpha; Balanidae.
AGUUUGAUAAAUAUAGUUUAGAUUUAUUAAUGAUUAGAAGUAUAUAAAUUUUAGUAGUGAUAACGAAAUAAUUUUUUUACUAUAGAAAAUUAGUACUGUGAAGGAAAUAUUGAAAUAUUUGAAAAUUACUCAUAAAAAAAGUUCUUAUAUAUUAAGGUACCUUUUGUAUUAGUGGUUAUUAAAAUAAUAUUGAAAAAUUUUUUCUCGAAAGUAAAAGAUCUAGAUAAAUUUAUAAGUUUUUGUGUCAAAAAAAUUUAAAAAAUUUAUUUAGGUGUGAAAUUCUUAACGCUUUUACUAAUAUCUAGUAACUUCAGAAAUAAAUUUAGUUUAGAAUGUUUAGGAUAAACUUUAAUUUAAAGUGUCUCUAAAAUCAUUUUUAAUCUUUAGGGGAUGAGCUCUAAAGAUUUGUUAUAAGAUAAAUAUUAUCAUUGUUUUUGUAUAGGCUUAGAAUUAGCCAUAGGAUAGUGUUUUAAAAUAUAAUUACAAGUUUGAGAUUUUAAAUUCUUUAUAUGUUUAUGAAGUUAAUUUUUAAAUUUAUUUAAAAGUGUAAAUAUGAUAACAUUAGUAGAUAAAUUAUUAAAUGAAUUGUAUAUUAAUUUUUCUUAUAAUUUUUUUAUAAUAAAUUUAACAAAAGAACUCGGCAAAUUAUAUUUCCGAAUGUUUAUCAAAAACAUUUCCUCCUAGAAUAGGAGGUAAGGCCUGCUCACUGAUCAUUAAAGAGCCGCAGUAUCCUAACUGUGCUAAGGUAGCAUAAUCAUUAGUCUUUUAAUUGAGGACUGGUAUGAAUGGCUAAACGAGAAAUAGACUUUUUUUGUUAUAUAAAUUGAAUUUAAUUUUUCAGUGAAAAAGCUGAAAUUAUUUAGAAAGACGAGAAGACCCUAUAGAGUUUUAUGUUAUACAAUUGUUAUUUAUAGUAGAUUUUUAUUAAAUUAUAAUUUUUUAACAUUUUGUUGGGGCGACAUUAAGAUAUAUAAAACUCUUUAUUUUUUAUAUUUUUAUGGAAAGUUUAUUGAUCCUCUAAAAGAGAUCAGAAGAAAAAAUUACCUUAGGGAUAACAGCGUAAUCUUUUUUGAGAGUUCUAAUCGACAAAAAGGUUUGCGACCUCGAUGUUGGACUAAAAUUUAAGCAGGGUGCAGCAGUUCUGCUAUAAGGUCUGUUCGACCUAUAAAAUUUUACACGAUCUGAGUUCAGACCGGCGUAAGCCAGGUUGGUUUCUAUCUUCUAAUUUAUAUUUUUCAACUUAGUACGAAAGGAUUGGUUGAUUAUAAUUUUUAUAUUUAAAUUGAUGAUUAUUAAUAUAAAUUAC